CUUUUCGUAGAUGAUCUGAUUAUCUUCAGCAGGGCAAAUAAGUUUGAGGCUCAACCGCAGUUGGUUGAAAAGGGCAGAGUUCCAUUUGGUGGGUGGGUCUAGGGCGAAUAGGUAAGGUGGUUAGGCAACAGGUUCUUUGUCUGUUUGGUUGGUCAAACAUGCAUUAGUUCAUAGAUCUUUGGACUUAAAAUGACAAAGAGUCAGAUGGGAAUACCAGAAAAACUAUAGAAGAGGUAUCUCGAUUGAAAUACCUACAAAUGGUAUUUUCCGAAGAAAUAGUAUUUUUGCUUGUCGUUAACGAACAGAAAGAAAAAAGUCCAAAUACAGACGCUAAGAAUUCCUCAAGGAAGCUCUCUAUCACCCGUACUCAUGAAUGUCUUCUUACACC
RNAcentral lists this long non-coding RNA (388 nucleotides) under Linum usitatissimum (flax). RNAcentral describes it as "long non-coding RNA (LUSI_LNC002454)". Lineage: Eukaryota; Viridiplantae; Streptophyta; Magnoliopsida; Malpighiales; Linaceae. The record is from RNAcentral.